RNAcentral lists this ribosomal RNA (200 nucleotides) under uncultured bacterium. RNAcentral describes it as "partial 16S ribosomal RNA". It matches the Rfam family "Bacterial small subunit ribosomal RNA", at positions 328 to 544 of the family's 1533-position model. The record is from RNAcentral.
ACGCUCGACACCUACGGAGGCAGCAGUGGGGAAUAUUGCACAAUGGGGGAAACCCUGAUGCAGCGACGCCGCGUGGAGGAAGAAGGUCUUCGGAUUGUAAACUCCUGUUGUUGGGGAAAAAGAGGAUGGUACCCAACAAGGAAGUGACGGCUAACUACGUGCCAGUAGCCGCCGGUAAGUCUGAGCGGGCGUGGCAAGGC